UACGGAGGAUCCAAGCGUUAUCCGGAUUUAUUGGGUUUAAAGGGUGCGCAGGCGGAAGAUUAAGUCGGCGGUGAAAUUUUGCAGCUCAACUGUAAAAGUGCCAUCGAUACUGGUUUUCUUGAGUGUGGAUGAAGUAGGCGGAAUUUGUGGUGUAGCGGUGAAAUGCAUAGAUAUCACGAGGAACUCCGAUUGCGCAGGCAGCUUACUAAACUACUACUGACGCUCAGGCACGAAGGCGUGGGGAGUCAAACAGGAUUAGAUACCCU
RNAcentral lists this ribosomal RNA (266 nucleotides) under uncultured prokaryote. RNAcentral's name for it is "partial 16S ribosomal RNA". It matches the Rfam family "Bacterial small subunit ribosomal RNA", at positions 524 to 788 of the family's 1533-position model. The record is from RNAcentral.